RNAcentral lists this ribosomal RNA (398 nucleotides) under uncultured bacterium. Its description in RNAcentral is "bacterial SSU rRNA". It matches the Rfam family "Bacterial small subunit ribosomal RNA", at positions 969 to 1392 of the family's 1533-position model. The record is from RNAcentral.
CCUUACCAACCCUUGACAUCCUAGGACAACUCCAGAGAUGGAGCCUUCCUUCGGGACCUAGUGACAGGUGCUGCAUGGCUGUCGUCAGCUCGUGUCGUGAGAUGUUCGGUUAAGUCCGGCAACGAGCGCAACCCACAUCCUUAGUUGCCAGCAGUUCGGCUGGGCACUCUAGGGAAACUGCCCGUGAUAAGCGGGAGGAAGGUGUGGAUGACGUCAAGUCCUCAUGGCCCUUACGGGUUGGGCUACACACGUGCUACAAUGGCAGUGACAAUGGGUUAAUCCCAAAAAACUGUCUCAGUUCGGAUUGUCGUCUGCAACUCGACGGCAUGAAGUCGGAAUCGCUAGUAAUCGCGUAACAGCAUGACGCGGUGAAUACGUUCCCGGGUCUGUACACACCG